Molecule: ribosomal RNA, 758 nt
Filed under: uncultured archaeon
Lineage: Archaea
Description: bacterial SSU rRNA
Rfam family: Archaeal small subunit ribosomal RNA
Source: RNAcentral
GGAUAACCUACCCUUUAGGACUGGGAUAACCCUGGGAAACUGGGGAUAAUACCGGAUAGGCAAUUCUUCCUGUAAUGGUUUUUUGUUUAAAUGUUUUUUCGCCUAAGGAUGGGUCUGCGGCCGAUUAGGUAGUUGGUUAGGUAAUGGCUUACCAAGCCGUUGAUCGGUACGGGUUGUGAGAGCAAGAGCCCGGAGAUGGAACCUGAGACAAGGUUCCAGGCCCUACGGGGUGCAGCAGGCGCGAAACCUCCGCAAUGUGAGAAAUCGCGACGGGGGGAUCCCAAGUGCCAUUCUUAACGGGAUGGCUUUUCAUUAGUGUAAAGAGCUUUUGGAAUAAGAGCUGGGCAAGACCGGUGCCAGCCGCCGCGGUAACACCGGCAGCUCUAGUGGUAACAAUUUUUAUUGGGCCUAAAGCGUCCGUAGCCGGUUUAAUAAGUCUCUGGUGAAAUCCUGUAGCUUAACUGUGGGAAUUGCUGGAGAUACUAUUAGACUUGAGACCGGGAGAGGUUAGAGGUACUCCCAGGGUAGAGGUGAAAUUCUGUAAUCCUGGGAGGACCGCCUGUUGCGAAGGCGUCUAACUGGAACGGUUCUGACGGUGAGGGACGAAAGUUAGGGGCGCGAACCGGAUUAGAUACCCGGGUAGUCCUAACUGUAAACGAUGCGGACUUGGUGUUGGGGUGGCUUUGAGCUGCUCCAGUGCCGAAGGGAAGCUGUUAAGUCCGCCGCCUGGGAAGUACGGUCGCAAGACUGAAACUUAA